UACCAAAUUGGAAUCCUCUUUCAUGGCAACAUCUGUAGAAAAGGAGCUGCGUCUUGUGCCUCUAUAAAUUCACUACUUGAUGAGCUCCAAGAAGGGAGUGCCACACAGAGGGAGAGGGGCGAAUGGAAGUUCAACGUGGCAGGAAAUGAGGAUGAAAAGAGAUGAGCCUGGAGAGAUGGACUGAGGAGACCAUGAAGAGCCCAGAUCAGCUCCUUAAAAAUCCCACCCCUUCUGCUCUUUGUAUCUUUGGAACCAAGCACAGUGCCUUAUUCAUCCUGAGGGCUCCAAACCCGUUGUUCAACCACAGACUCCUGACAGCUGGCUGCCCUCAUGGAGGGGGCCUGAGUUUCUACGAUUCGAGGAUGUGGAUAUCGAUGGAGUUGGAGGCUCCUCCCCCGCCCCGACCUGCGAUUGUGACAAACAGAACAAGAAUUUCUGGGAAAUAAAUCCCUGAACUUUUCCCACCAGGGGCUUGAACUUUUAAUGGGAGUGGAUGGUGAUACUGUGGUACCACCUGCCUGCCCCACGGAAGCUUCUCUCUGCCUCAACUGGGGCACAAGGGGUAUUGAUGCUGAUGGGGUCAGGUAUGCCUGGGGGAGGUUUCUGCCCUCAAAUGCCCCAUGCCACCUGUGGGAACAUUUGUAUCCCUUCCAACCUCCCAUCCCUGAGCCAAGGUGUCCUGUCCUGUGUGGAAUUUCCUAAGAGUUGGGAUAAAAGGAGGCUAAGAUGGGGGUGGAGGUAAUGCUGAAGCUUUGGGCCACGAGUGUAGGCUGGAGGGAGAGCUGCAGGACUGGGGAGGCAGGGGAGGGGAGCAGGCUUUUAAGCUGAGUGUUUCCUAAGUGCUAGGCCCUAUGCUGGUGGCGCAGUGGUAAAGAAUCUGCCUGCCGUUGCAGGAGGCGCAAGAGACGGGGGUUCAAUUCCUGAGUCAGGAAGAUCCCCUGGAGUAAGAAAUGGAAAC
Long non-coding RNA from Bubalus bubalis (water buffalo), 958 nucleotides. RefSeq lists it as uncharacterized. The transcript is spliced from 3 exons. NCBI's taxonomy places the organism in Eukaryota, Metazoa, Chordata, Mammalia, Artiodactyla, Bovidae. The record is from RefSeq and is a predicted model, not a curated record.